Molecule: ribosomal RNA, 253 nt
Filed under: uncultured bacterium
Lineage: Bacteria
Description: partial 16S ribosomal RNA
Rfam family: Bacterial small subunit ribosomal RNA
Source: RNAcentral
UACGUAGGGUGCAAGCGUUGUCCGGAAUUAUUGGGCGUAAAGAGCUCGUAGGCGGUCUGUUGCGUCGGCUGUGAAAACCCGGGGCUCAACCCCGGGCCUGCAGCCGAUACGGGCAGACUAGAGUUCGGCAGGGGAGACUGGAAUUCCUGGUGUAGCGGUGAAAUGCGCAGAUAUCAGGAGGAACACCGGUGGCGAAGGCGGGUCUCUGGGCCACUACUGACGCUGAGAAGCGAAAGCAUGGGGAGCGAACAGG